Long non-coding RNA from Oncorhynchus gorbuscha (pink salmon), 2279 nucleotides. RefSeq lists it as uncharacterized. The transcript is spliced from 2 exons. Lineage: Eukaryota; Metazoa; Chordata; Actinopteri; Salmoniformes; Salmonidae. The record is from RefSeq and is a predicted model, not a curated record.
UGUGUGUCUGUGUGUGUGUCUGUGUGUGUGUCUGUGUGUGUGUCUGUGCGUGUGUCUGUGCGUGUGUCUGUGCGUGUGUCUGUGCGUGUGUCUGUGCGUGUGUCUGUGCGUGUGUCUGUGUGUUAGCCUGUCUUUUCACUCUCCACCUUAUGUCAUUGUCAUUGUAGAUGCUGUAUGCAUACUGUAUGUGAAAAAAAAGAAACAAUGAAUGCAUAAACUUUAACUUCACUGACGUGCAUACACAUGCAUGGGGAAAUGUUGACAGGUUUUCUUAGCUUCAUGUGUAUGUGUCAAGUUGAUGGACCAUUCAACUCUAUUUCAUCAACUUUGAUUAUACAAGCCCUCUGUAACACAGUGAAUCUGUAUUUUAGCGUGAGCUUCUUUUACAACGAAACCAAUUGAUUUCUUUCAUUACACUGUUACACUGUCUAUCUCGUAGUAGUGUAGUCCCAAGUAUUUUAUUCAUGGUAAUGGUUAUAAUAAUAUUAUAAUAAUAAUAAUAAAUGCCAUUUAGCAGACGCUUUUAUCCAAAGCGACUUACAGUCAUGUGUGCAUACAUUCUACGUAUGGGUGGUCCCGGGAAUCGAACCCACUACCCUGGCGUUACAAGUGCCAUGCUCUACCAACUGAGCUACAGUGUCAAACACUUGAUUCAUAUUUGACUUGUUUUAACUUUUACCAGCUGGCUGGUUUAUUUGUUCUAUGCAGCAGAGAUGUAUUGGUAAACCUGUACCUGUGCUCUAUUUUGAAACAUUGAAAAAUCAAGUAUACAAAAAAAAAUUAUACACUAAAGAGUUGUAAUAAUUGGUUAUUUCUGAUUCCCAUGCUACUGUUUUUAUUUUUACAAGAGGGCUCAUUGUAUAUUUCCUAAAUUGUUUGGGUUCUGUUUUCGUACAUUCUUGACUAUUUGUAACCUGUGAUUCUUCUAACAAACGAGUUGAACCAAUAUGUUAACAUGAGGUUCUGCUGUCAUGAAUGGAGCGCUAAGGAUUUUCUGCUGCUUAUUUGAAAUAUGAAUUAAUCAACACAUCACUAUGGAGGGUGAGGUUUCUCUGAUGCAACACAUCACUAUGGAGGGUGAGGUUUCUCUGAUGCAACACAUCACUAUGGAGGGUGAGGUUUCUCUGAUGCAACACAUCACUAUGGAGGGUGAGGUUUCUCUGAUGCAACACAUCACUAUGGAGGGUGAGGUUUCUCUGAUGCAACACAUCACUAUGGAGGGUGAGGUUUCUCUGAUGCAACACAUCACUAUGGAGGGUGAGGUUUCUCUGAUGCAACACAUCACUAUGGAGGGUGAGGUUUCUCUGAUGCAACACAUCACUAUGGAGGGUGAGGUUUCUCUGAUGCAACACAUCACUAUGGAGGGUGAGGUUUCUCUGAUGCAACACAUCACUAUGGAGGGUGAGGUUUCUCUGAUGCAACACAUCACUAUGGAGGGUGAGGUUUCUCUGAUGCAACAUAUCAUCAGAUAUUUGUCAUCGCUUUUCAGCCACUAUAUCACCUACAUUUUGUGGGUUGAAGAACUUGGUAGGUAAGAGGAUGGCAGUCAAGACAGAUUGCUCUCUGAAAGACCGAGUACUGUAAAUCACUUUCAUUGUUCAAUCAGAUAUUAAAAAUCAAUCAUUUCUUUGAAUAUCAUAAUUUGCAAACUCACAUGGACCUUUCCUAAGGCUAAUCAGCUCAGUAGGUAGGGGAACCAGAAUUUAAUGGGGACCAGAUAUACCAUUCCUCUGUCUGAACCUUGGCUGGUAUGAUAUUCAUGAUAACAGCACUUAGGUCUGGACUACUAACUUAACAUAACAUUUUAUCUAUUUCAAUUAUUUAUCCUCUAUUUCUUUUAUUUUUGUUCAUCUUUGUAAAGGGAUUUUAAAACUAUGCACAUGAGUCCAAGACUCUCCGAGAGGUCCACCCAAACUCAUGACCUUAAGAAUUAUAAUAUUAAUAAUAAGAGAUGUAUAUGAUUUAAAAAGUCAACAGUUAAUGAAUUUAUAUCAAUAGACGACUAUUGAAAUUACAAUUUUUCUGAUUUUCCAGAAUUAUUUAGACAUUUAUUGUAAACACACACACAGGUAUUGCUCCAAAGUUUUCAUCUUUUUUUUUCUCCUAAAAUGCAUUUGUUCUAUCACAUUCAACUCACAUGUGGAGGGACACUGUGACAUGAUGAAUUGGAACUAUAUCUGUACACACAUUGUAAUGUUUCCUAUUCAAGAUGGUAAAUGUCUAUUUGAACAAUUUAAAUAUUUUGGGGAAAUAAAGCUGUUGUUGGGUAUCUAAAAAAA